AUUGAACGCUGGCGGCAUGCUUUACACAUGCAAGUCGAACGGCAGCACGGGCUUCGGCCUGGUGGCGAGUGGCGAACGGGUGAGUAAUAUAUCGGAACGUACCCAGAAGUGGGGGAUAACGUAGCGAAAGUUACGCUAAUACCGCAUACGAUCUAUGGAUGAAAGCAGGGGACCGCAAGGCCUUGUGCUCCUGGAGCGGCCGAUAUCUGAUUAGCUAGUUGGUGAGGUAAAGGCUCACCAAGGCGACGAUCAGUAGCUGGUCUGAGAGGACGACCAGCCACACUGGAACUGAGACACGGUCCAGACUCCUACGGGAGGCAGCAGUGGGGAAUUUUGGACAAUGGGCGCAAGCCUGAUCCAGCAAUGCCGCGUGAGUGAAGAAGGCCUUCGGGUUGUAAAGCUCUUUUGUCAGGGGAGAAACGGUAGAGGCUAAUAUCCUUUGCUAAUGACGGUACCUGAAGAAUAAGCACCGGCUAACUACGUG
This 484-nucleotide ribosomal RNA is filed under the name uncultured bacterium. RNAcentral describes it as "partial 16S ribosomal RNA". It matches the Rfam family "Bacterial small subunit ribosomal RNA", at positions 30 to 507 of the family's 1533-position model. The record is from RNAcentral.